CGGGACGGGUGAGUAACACGUGAGCAACCUGGCUCUAAGAGGGGGACAACAGUUGGAAACGACUGCUAAUACCGCAUAACGUAUCGGGAUGGCAUCUUCCUGAUACCAAAGAUUUUAUCGCUUAGAGAUGGGCUCGCGUCUGAUUAGAUAGUUGGCGGGGUAACGGCCCACCAAGUCGACGAUCAGUAGCCGGACUGAGAGGUUGAACGGCCACAUUGGGACUGAGACACGGCCCAGACUCCUACGGGAGGCAGCAUG
This 258-nucleotide ribosomal RNA is filed under the name uncultured bacterium. RNAcentral describes it as "partial 16S ribosomal RNA". It matches the Rfam family "Bacterial small subunit ribosomal RNA", at positions 98 to 353 of the family's 1533-position model. The record is from RNAcentral.